This is a long non-coding RNA of Pan paniscus (pygmy chimpanzee), 572 nucleotides long. The record is from Ensembl. NCBI's taxonomy places the organism in Eukaryota, Metazoa, Chordata, Mammalia, Primates, Hominidae.
AAAUCACUUUCUAAAAUAUGGUACAUGAAAGCUACUUACCAUGAACUUUCUUUUCAUUUAUCAAAGUCAUGUCCUUUUCUAGACAUAAGCAGCUGGCAGUAUUGUUUCCCCAGGGGCAUACAAGCAGAACACCAUCUGAAGCCAGAUGAAAAAUAAAGGCAACUGAUAAGUUGGUUUCACAAUGGACUGUACCACCAUCCAGGGACAUGGUCACAUUUAAUUUCUCAAAGCUGAAGGAAAUAUGAUGAUCAGGAUAUGAAGAAGAAAACAAUAAAAAAAUCAUGUCUAGCAAGGACAGAGGUCACCUCCAAUGGAGACACUUCAGGAAUUGCUCGGGAAAGAACAUCAAGUGGUCAAACAGGAGGAGAUAUGUGGUUCAAGCUACAGAAACAGCAACAGGCUGAGCAGCCAACAUAAGGAGGUUAAGGGCGGGAAAAACAUGAGAAACUCUUUUGAGAAGCUGCAAAAGCUGACGUGGAGGAUCAAGGAUUUCAAAAGCUUUGAAUAUAAAGAGGUGAGAAUUUUUAUUUUAUUUUUUUACUAUUAUUCUGGUCUGUUGGUUGAGCUCUGAG